GACGAACGCUGGCGGCGUGCUUAACACAUGCAAGUCGAGCGGUAAGGCCCUUUCGGGGGUACACGAGCGGCGAACGGGUGAGUAACACGUGGGUGACCUGCCCUCAGCUCUGGGAUAAGCCUGGGAAAACCGGGUCUAAUACUGGAUAUGACUCCAUGACGCAUGUUGUGGGGUGGAAAGCCUUGUGCGGCUGAGGAUGGGCCCGCGGCCUAUCAGCUUGUGGUGGGGUGAUGGCCUACCAAGGCGACGACGGGUAGCCGGCCUGAGAGGGCGACCGGCCACACUGGGACUGAGACACGGCCCAGACUCCUACGGGAGGCAGCAGUGGGGAAUCUUGCGCAAUGGGCGAAAGCCUGACGCAGCG
This 364-nucleotide ribosomal RNA is filed under the name uncultured bacterium. RNAcentral's name for it is "bacterial SSU rRNA". It matches the Rfam family "Bacterial small subunit ribosomal RNA", at positions 28 to 393 of the family's 1533-position model. The record is from RNAcentral.